UACGAACCGUACAAACGUUAUUCGGAAUCACUGGGCUUAAAGGGUGCGUAGGCGGCCAUGUAAGUGGGGUGUGAAAUCCCUCGGCUCAACCGAGGAACUGCGCUCCAUACUGCAUGGCUUGAGGGAGACAGGGGUAAGCGGAACUGAUGGUGGAGCGGUGAAAUGCGUUGAUAUCAUCAGGAACACCGGUGGCGAAAGCGGCUUACUGGGUCUCUUCUGACGCUGAGGUACGAAAGCUAGGGUAGCGAACGGG
Molecule: ribosomal RNA, 253 nt
Filed under: uncultured bacterium
Lineage: Bacteria
Description: partial 16S ribosomal RNA
Rfam family: Bacterial small subunit ribosomal RNA
Source: RNAcentral